Molecule: ribosomal RNA, 429 nt
Filed under: Bacteroidota bacterium
Lineage: Bacteria; Pseudomonadati; Bacteroidota
Description: Bacteroidetes bacterium partial 16S ribosomal RNA
Rfam family: Bacterial small subunit ribosomal RNA
Source: RNAcentral
UAGGGAAUCUUCCGCAAUGGACGCAAGUCUGACGGAGCAACGCCGCGUGAGUGAAGAAGGAUUUCGGUUCGUAAAACUCUGUUGUUAGAGAAGAACAGCGCAUAGAGUAACUGUUAUGCGUGUGACGGUAUCUAACCAGAAAGCCACGGCUAACUACGUGCCAGCAGCCGCGGUAAUACGUAGGUGGCAAGCGUUGUCCGGAUUUAUUGGGCGUAAAGCGAGCGCAGGCGGUCAAUUAAGUCUGAUGUGAAAGCCCCCGGCUCAACCGGGGAGGGUCAUUGGAAACUGGUUGACUUGAGUGCAGAAGAGGGGAGUGGAAUUCCAUGUGUAGCGGUGAAAUGCGGAGAUAUAUGGAGGAACACCAGUGGCGAAGGCGACUCUCUGGUCUGUAACUGACGCUGAGGUUCGAAAGCGUGGGUAGCAAACAGG